RNAcentral lists this ribosomal RNA (459 nucleotides) under uncultured organism. RNAcentral describes it as "partial 16S ribosomal RNA". It matches the Rfam family "Bacterial small subunit ribosomal RNA", at positions 330 to 797 of the family's 1533-position model. The record is from RNAcentral.
CGUACACUCCUACGGGAGGCAGCAGUGGGGAAUAUUGCACAAUGGGCGCAAGCCUGAUGCAGCGACGCCGCGUGGGGGAUGAAGGCCUUCGGGUUGUAAACUCCUUUCGCUAGGGACGAAGCUUUUUUGUGACGGUACCUAGAUAAGAAGCACCGGCUAACUACGUGCCAGCAGCCGCGGUAAUACGUAGGGUGCGAGCGUUGUCCGGAAUUACUGGGCGUAAAGGGCUCGUAGGUGGUUUGUCGCGUCGUCUGUGAAAUUCUGGGGCUUAACUCCGGGCGUGCAGGCGAUACGGGCAUAACUUGAGUGCUGUAGGGGUAACUGGAAUUCCUGGUGUAGCGGUGAAAUGCGCAGAUAUCAGGAGGAACACCGAUGGCGAAGGCAGGUUACUGGGCAGUUACUGACGCUGAGGAGCGAAAGCAUGGGUAGCGAACAGGAUUAGAAACCCCAGUAGUCCCA